AGUUAAACAGUACGUGAAAUUGUUGAAAGGGAAACGAUUGAAGUCAGUCGUGCUGGCGCGAAAUCAACCCUCUCGUUGAGAGGUCACAUGGCGUGGCGAGCCUCAAAACCGUCACGAAGCGUGAACUCUUGGCGAAAAGGAGCACUUUCGUGUCCGCUGGUUAACAUCAAUUUCGAACGUCAUAAAAAGGCUGGAGGGAUGUGGCUCCUUCGGGAGUGUUAUAACCUUUAGCGGAAUGUGGUGUUCGGGAUUGAGGAUUGCAACGAAUACCUUUAGGGCUGUUCCACCUGGCUUCUCUUUGGUAUCCUGGUGACGACAGCUUGCUGACGUUGUUAGGAUUCGCCUUUGAACAGGCUAGAGUGUGAGCAAAUUCGUUAAGGAUGUUAACGUAAUGGCUUUAAA
RNAcentral lists this unclassified non-coding RNA (402 nucleotides) under uncultured Entrophospora. Its description in RNAcentral is "uncultured Claroideoglomus sequence contains 28S rRNA gene". The record is from RNAcentral. Lineage: Eukaryota; Fungi; Glomeromycota; Glomeromycetes; Entrophosporales; Entrophosporaceae.